RNAcentral lists this long non-coding RNA (650 nucleotides) under Homo sapiens (human). Its description in RNAcentral is "HSALNT0318428". Lineage: Eukaryota; Metazoa; Chordata; Mammalia; Primates; Hominidae. The record is from RNAcentral.
GGUAGGUGCUUAAUAAACAUUAUGAAGUGCAUGAACAAAUGAAUAGCCCCUGAUGGACAGACAUGCUUGAGAAACACUAUUUUUCACAUUCCUAUCUACACUCAAGAUUUUACCUAUGAUAGCAGGCUGAAGAUUCCCAGGAUCUUACAUCCUAGCAGAAAAAGUUUGUUGACUCCUGCUUUAGAUCCACGGUUUCAAUGAUCACAUGUCAAUUUUGCUACCUAGUCACUGGGUCAUCAAAGCACAUAGUUUCUUUCAUCCAUGAAAUGGAAAGCCCCCACUGGGAGACCAGUACUCAGGAAAACGUUCUUCAUAUUUUUCCCAGAACCCACCAGCAUCACAGUCAUCUGGAGUAAUUGUUUAAAAAUGCAGAUUUCUAGGCCCACCUAAGACCUCCUGAAUCAAACCUCCUGAGGUUAGGGCCCAGGAACAUGGAAUGUAUGAGCUCCCUCGGUGAUUCCUAUGCACAGUAAAGUUUGAGAACUAUCGCUGUGAUUCUGCACUUCUCAAACUGGGAAAUGAAGCAUUUCCCAAAGGAAAACAUAGGUCCCUGUUGGUACCCUCCAGUUGUGAUAUUUUAUGUUCAUUUUAACGAAUACAAGAAAUUGAACAUGAUCUGGAAUUUAACAUUUCAUGGAUACUACAGCUUA